AACGAACGCUGGCGGCAGGCUUAACACAUGCAAGUCGAACGCCCGUAGCAAUACGGGAGUGGCAGACGGGUGAGUAACGCGUGGGAACAUACCCUCCGGUUCGGAAUAACUCAGGGAAACUUGAGCUAAUACCGGAUACGGCUUAGCGGCGAAAGAUUCAUCGCCGGAGGAUUGGCCCGCGUCCGAUUAGCUAGUUGGCGGGGUAACGGCCCACCAAGGCGACGAUCGGUAGCUGGUCUGAGAGGAUGAUCAGCCACAUUGGGACUGAGA
This 270-nucleotide ribosomal RNA is filed under the name uncultured bacterium. RNAcentral's name for it is "partial 16S ribosomal RNA". It matches the Rfam family "Bacterial small subunit ribosomal RNA", at positions 29 to 324 of the family's 1533-position model. The record is from RNAcentral.